Molecule: ribosomal RNA, 537 nt
Filed under: Albirhodobacter sp. E41
Lineage: Bacteria; Pseudomonadati; Pseudomonadota; Alphaproteobacteria; Rhodobacterales; Paracoccaceae
Description: bacterial SSU rRNA
Rfam family: Bacterial small subunit ribosomal RNA
Source: RNAcentral
CGAGAACGCUGGCGGCAGGCCUAACACAUGCAAGUCGAACGAGAUCUUCGGAUCUAGUGGCGGACGGGUGAGUAACGCGUGGGAAUAUGCCCUUUGGUACGGAAUAGCCUCGGGAAACUGAGAGUAAUACCGUAUGUGUCCUCUGAUCGUGGUGGUUGGAGGAGAAAGAUUUAUCGCCAAAGGAUUAGCCCGCGUUGGAUUAGAUAGUUGGUGGGGUAAUGGCCUACCAAGUCUACGAUCCAUAGCUGGUUUGAGAGGAUGAUCAGCCACACUGGGACUGAGACACGGCCCAGACUCCUACGGGAGGCAGCAGUGGGGAAUCUUAGACAAUGGGGGCAACCCUGAUCUAGCCAUGCCGCGUGAUCGAUGAAGGCCUUAGGGUUGUAAAGAUCUUUCAGUUGGGAAGAUAAUGACGGUACCAACAGAAGAAGCCCCGGCUAACUCCGUGCCAGCAGCCGCGGUAAUACGGAGGGGGCUAGCGUUAUUCGGAAUUACUGGGCGUAAAGCGCACGUAGGCGGACUGGAAAGUUAGAGGUG